UAGGGUAUGGUGUAACGGCUAACAUUGCCGCCUCUCAGGGCGUCUUCGUCCAGAGAUGCAUCCGUUUCGCGGCAGCUCGAGGUUCGAUUCCCCGUACCCAAA
Molecule: non-coding RNA, 102 nt
Organism: Tephrocybe sp. NHM501043
Lineage: Eukaryota; Fungi; Basidiomycota; Agaricomycetes; Agaricales; Lyophyllaceae
Source: the annotation of a GenBank genome assembly